CAGUUAAAUGCGAAUUUUAUAUAAACAACAAAUAAUGCUUUAGUUUAAGUAUGUCUCAUGCAACAUUUGGGACAUACUUAUACUAAAAGUUAUUCAUUGUUUAUAUGAACAUCACAUUUAACUAGGCAUCUUGUA
RNAcentral lists this microRNA precursor (135 nucleotides) under Vicugna pacos (alpaca). RNAcentral's name for it is "miRNA (ENSVPAG00000016093.1)". The stretch from base 37 to 88 matches the Rfam family "mir-1302 microRNA precursor family". The record is from RNAcentral. Lineage: Eukaryota; Metazoa; Chordata; Mammalia; Artiodactyla; Camelidae.